AUAGGCUUUGUCGAGUCUUGGAUUUUCUAUCUUUCGACUCGACAUCCUGAUCAUCCCUAUGUGCACUUAUCAAAGAAUUCUUUGGUGGGUUGCAAGACCUACCAAAAGUUUUUUCUAUCGACUUCAUUUUUGUCUGAAAUAAAAUUGUAAUAAAAUA
This 157-nucleotide unclassified non-coding RNA is filed under the name soil metagenome. RNAcentral's name for it is "partial internal transcribed spacer 1". The record is from RNAcentral.